Gossypium hirsutum (cotton) is the source of this 107-nucleotide non-coding RNA. NCBI's taxonomy places the organism in Eukaryota, Viridiplantae, Streptophyta, Magnoliopsida, Malvales, Malvaceae. The record is from Rfam.
AUACCAUGGUGAGGGCACUUUUGUAAUAACUCCUCGAGUCGUUCCCUUGCCUCAUAUAAAGGUUCUCCGUCAAGUUGCUGAAAUGAAGUGAUUUCAUGUCAGAGCUU